This is a long non-coding RNA of Ahaetulla prasina, 821 nucleotides long. RefSeq lists it as uncharacterized. The record is from RefSeq and is a predicted model, not a curated record. The transcript has 3 exons. NCBI's taxonomy places the organism in Eukaryota, Metazoa, Chordata, Lepidosauria, Squamata, Colubridae.
AGCUACUGAAGAGUGCCUGCCAUACCUGGGAAUGCCAAGAACGGAACACAAGGGGUCGGCAACCUUGAACACUCAAAGAGCCAUUUGGACCCGUUUCCCACUGAAAAGAAAACACCGGGAGCCACAAAGGUCCUAACCGAAAGUCCCCCCCCCCGUUCAAUUCUGGAGCUGACCGGAAGUCUCCUCCUGGUGUGCUGUGCUUCCCCUCUCCCAACCGGGAAGGUCCUCUCAAAAUUGUGGUGCUGACCGGUGACAGGGAACCGCAACAGAGGGAUGAAAGAGCCACAUGCGGCUCCAGAGCCACGGGUUGCCGACUCCUGCUCUAACAGGACAUGGUGUUUUGCUCCAUGAUGAUUCUAAGAUUAACUCUGCAAACAAAACUUGGCAGCCUGGAGGGGCAGUCACAAUCCAUAGAUGUCAUUUCUUCAUAACACUCUCCAUCAUAUCCAAGAACCAUCAUAUCUGCUGAAAAUGUGACCCUGGGACCUGGGAAACUUGCCAUGCCUGUUUCAACUGGAUGGUAUGACAGUCCAGAGGGCGAGCAGCGACCAAAGCAAUUGUGAUAACCUUCAGAGGAGCAUUUCAAAAUCCAAGGUCUGUCCAGGGUAGGUACCCAACAUCAAUACAAGACUGAAAAGAUAUCAGUCCUUCCUUUUCAUAAUCGUGAUUUCCAGCAAUUUGACUUGCAAGCCCAUUAAAUCAGAGGACUGGGAAAGGGGUUUGUGGAAUGGAGGAGGGGGGAAGUGGAGGAGGAUGACGACUAUGGAGUCCUUGGUGCUCUCUGGGCUUGCUUGUUUUCUUGCAGACUUUUCAUUACCUAA